AGCUGUUUCUCUUUUCCACUCCGAUACCUUCUCUUGGAGAGAAGAAGUAGCAGCGAUGUCGCAGCAAGGUCAAAUUCCGAUAAACCCCAUGGUCGCUCCGCAGAACCCUAUGGCUGCCAUGCAGGUUCCCAUGCCCAUGCACAUGCAGAUGCAGAUGCAGAUGCCCAUGCCAUUACCCAUGCAGAUGCAGAUGCCUCUCCCCAUGCCGCUCCAGAUUCCCUUCUCCAUCCACGACCCCGCCACCCCCUCCUCCGGGAAGCGCCGUCGCGACGACGAGGCUCCCGGAACCGCUGCCGCGACGGAGCAGUCUGCGCCGAAGCGCGUCAAGGGACAGGACGUCAUAUUCAGGAUCGUCGUGCCCUCGCGCCAGAUCGGCAAGGUCAUCGGGAAGGAAGGGUGCCGCAUACAGAGGAUUCGAGAAGACACCAAAGCAACCAUCAAGAUCGCUGACGCUAUUGCCAGACAUGAAGAGCGAGUUAUCAUUAUUAGUUCCAAGGAUAAUGAUGAAAAGGUUACUGAUGCAGAAAAAGCUCUUGAGCAAAUAGCCCAUUUAAUUUUAAAGGAAGAUGAUAGCAGUCUUGAUUUGUCAAAAGUUGCAGCAGGACAUGUGGCUGCCAAUACAAUUAGACUUUUGAUUGCUGGGUCCCAGGCAGGUGGAUUAAUUGGGAUGUCUGGUCAAAACAUUGAGAAAUUGAGGGACUCUUCUGGUGCCUCGAUUACUGUUCUUGCACCAAAUCAGUUGCCUUUAUGUGCGUCUGCCCACGAAUCUGACAGAGUAGUGCAGUUAUCAGGAGAUGUUACUUCGGUAAUGAAGGCUUUGGACGAGAUAGGUUGUCAACUAAGGGAAAACCCACCAAGACAAGUGAUUUCAAUUAGUCCAACAUACAAUUAUGCUGCAAUUCGACCAUCCCAACCAUAUCUUGACCCAACUUCAGGACAACCAAUCUUGCAGUUGAUUAUGUUACAUUCGAGAUGCUGAUUUCGGAAACGAUGGUUGGUGGAUUGAUUGGCCGAUGUGGCUCAAACAUAUCAAGGAUCAGAAAUGAAUCUGGAGCAAUGAUCAAGGUUUAUGGUGGUAAGGGUGAACAAAAGCAUAGACAAAUUCAAUUUGGUGGUAGUGCUCAACAGGUAGCUUUGGCAAAACAGAGAGUCGAUGAAUAUAUUUAUUCUCAGUUGAUACAACAGACUGGCACCCAACAGUCAGCGGAGUAAUUUUUAUGAGAAAGGACCAAAAUUUAAAAGAUUUCUGGUCUAUUCAGCUUCCAGAGAUGACACCAAGAAAGCCAAAAUGUGUAGUUCCUGCUCGGAAUCCAGCUACCUUGGGGGCUUAUUAUUUGUGUUAGUAAGAUGUGUUUGAUGGAUAUAAUUUGUUUUAGUGGAUGUUCAAACUUUUCUCAGCUUGUACCGUAUCAAUUGUUCUUAGUUGAAGGUAUAUAUAAUUUUUUCUAUACAUAAAUAUGAAUGUGUAAAAUGUAACGUUUAUUUCUGUUGAUAUGGCUCUCACUGGUUUCGAGUGGUA
Molecule: RNA transcript, 1519 nt
Organism: Vigna unguiculata (cowpea)
Lineage: Eukaryota; Viridiplantae; Streptophyta; Magnoliopsida; Fabales; Fabaceae
Gene name: flowering locus K homology domain-like
Source: RefSeq, a predicted model, not a curated record